CCAAAGUCACUUCAAACGACUAAUCUUUUUUAGCCUUUCUGCUGCAUAAAGGGCAGUGAAAGAUCACUUUUUUUUUUCUGACUUCUGGAACACCAACAUUAAUUCCAUAGCCACCCCCCAACCUCUCAACAGAAACUCCAGUGAGGAAGUGGUAUUCAGCUUUCAAGGGAAUCUUACCAUUGGGCAAAAGGAAGCAACCACUUUUGCCUCAACUUUGUGGUGGUCUUUUUGUGCCCAUAACCCCAGAAAGUGCAGUGAGCAGCACAUG
This 268-nucleotide long non-coding RNA is filed under the name Coffea arabica (coffee). Its description in RNAcentral is "long non-coding RNA (CARA_LNC004539)". The record is from RNAcentral. Lineage: Eukaryota; Viridiplantae; Streptophyta; Magnoliopsida; Gentianales; Rubiaceae.